CAGCAGCCGCGGGAAUACCGAGGGUGCAAGCGUUAAUCGGAUUUACUGGGCGUAAAGGGCGCGUAGGUGGUUAUUUAAGUGAGAUGUGAAAGCCCCGGGCUUAACCUGGGAACUGCAUCUUAUACUGGGUAACUGGAGUGCAGUAGAGGGUAGUGGAAUUUCCGGUGUAGCGGUGAAAUGCGUAGAUAUCGGAAGGAACACCAGUGGCGAAGGCGACUAUCUGGGCCAACACUGACACUGAGGCACGAAAGCGUGGGGAGCAAACAGGAUUAGAUACCCGCGUAGUCCCUGUCUCUUAUAA
This 301-nucleotide ribosomal RNA is filed under the name uncultured bacterium. RNAcentral's name for it is "partial 16S ribosomal RNA". It matches the Rfam family "Bacterial small subunit ribosomal RNA", at positions 509 to 809 of the family's 1533-position model. The record is from RNAcentral.